AGCAAAGUGUACGGAAUAUUCUAAAAAACCGUUUAUACCCUUCUUACGUAAAUACAGUGCCAACAAGAAUCAAGAUACCUCAAUGCAACAACCGUUAUACACAGAUUCUACGAGAUUCUAUUCUUGGGACGAAUUGAACAAUGAAGAACUAUACACAAUCCCUCGUUACAAUUGGAGUUCAUUAUGACAAAAGUUGAACUGCCGCUAUGGCUGGUAUCUUCUCUCGCAAUUUCUGUGUAACAGCCACCCGAACCGUCAUGACCCCAGCGGCUGGCCCCGUAAUCCGAACUUUAACUAUUGGCUCCUCAAUACCCACAAGUUCAAGAGAUCCUCCGGCCGCCCCAACAAGGUAAGGUCUUAUCUCUUCAAGUACCUUCUCUAUAUUGUCCUCGUUGAGCUCCAAUCCAGUUUCUUCAUCUGCUAUUGGCUCCACAGCAACAAUUUCAGGAAUCUUCUCCAUCAAACGGCGUUCAAUUCCCAUCUUCAUGGUCGUAACAGAACUCGGACAUGAGCCGCAAGCUCCUUGUAGCUUCAACCGUACAACAUUUCCGUCAAUUUCAUGUAAUGCCACAUUUCCACCAUCCGCAAUAAGAU
This 594-nucleotide unclassified non-coding RNA is filed under the name Hevea brasiliensis (rubber tree). Lineage: Eukaryota; Viridiplantae; Streptophyta; Magnoliopsida; Malpighiales; Euphorbiaceae. The record is from RNAcentral.